RNAcentral lists this ribosomal RNA (769 nucleotides) under uncultured bacterium. RNAcentral's name for it is "bacterial SSU rRNA". It matches the Rfam family "Bacterial small subunit ribosomal RNA", at positions 9 to 771 of the family's 1533-position model. The record is from RNAcentral.
GAGUUUGAUCCUGGCUCAGGAUGAACGCUAGCGGCAGGCCUAACACAUGCAAGUCGAGGGGUAACGGGGAAGCUUGCUUCCGCCGACGACCGGCGCACGGGUGCGCACCGCGUAUGGAACCUACCUUUUACAGGGGAAUAGCCCAGGGAAACUUGGAUUAAUGCCCCGUAGUACCGUCUAACAGCAUUGUUUAACGGUUAAAGCCUUCGGGCGGUAGAAGAUGGCCAUGCGUCCCAUUAGUCUGUUGGUAAGGUAACGGCUUACCAAGACUACGAUGGGUAGGGGCCCUGAGAGGGGGAUCCCCCACACUGGUACUGAGACACGGACCAGACUCCUACGGGAGGCAGCAGUGAGGAAUAUUGGACAAUGGAGGAGACUCUGAUCCAGCCAUGCCGCGUGCAGGAAGAAUGCCCUAUGGGUAGUAAACUGCUUUUAUACAGGAAGAAAAAGAGCUACGUGUAGCUUACUGACGGUACUGUAAGAAUAAGGACCGGCUAACUCCGUGCCAGCAGCCGCGGUAAUACGGAGGGUCCGAGCGUUAUCCGGAAUUAUUGGGUUUAAAGGGUCCGUAGGCGGGCGAUUAAGUCAGUGGUGAAAGUCUGCAGCUCAACUGUAGAAUUGCCUUUGAUACUGGUCGUCUUGAGUUAUAGUGAAGUUGCCGGAAUAUGUAGUGUAGCGGUGAAAUGCAUAGAUAUUACAUAGAACACCGAUUGCGAANGCAGGUGACUAACUAUAUACUGACGCUGAUGGACGAAAGCGUGGGGAGCGA